GUUCCGGUUCCCAGAUUUGUCUAACCCACAUCUGCCGGUCAUCACCUCCACCGCUCUAUUCUGCUUCACCCAUACGAUGCUUUGAUUUGGGGGUUAUAAAGCGACAUGGUGGAAUACCAUCUGAGUGUCGGCAAAAUGGAAAUCCAAAUAGAUGAAGAUCAAUCGGAAGCGAAGUCGCCGGAACCCUAAAAAGGUCUCGAUUAGUUCAUCGUUGGGUACUAACAACAAUCGGGUCUCCAAGUAGAUGAAACAAUUGGAGCGUUUGCAAGUUCGGAAAUGACCGUGUUUUGCCGAUGAUUCGUCUCGGUUAGUCGAAUUAGAGCUUUUGUUACGGAAUUGAGGAUGAUAUCAGUCUUCCCAUGGCGUUAACGUUAUCGCUUUGUAAGGAUGAUAUUAGUCCUCCCUCACCGGGAUUCAGUGCUAUUUUUUUGGUCUUUUAACUAGGAAAAUGAGAGAACGCAUAGUCAUGUUUCCCCUGCAAACCGUUGCUGUUUGUUUCUUUAUGCCCGUCUCUGUGCGACCCAGAGAAGUGGAUGUACAAAUGGACAUUGAUGAUCACGAGACUCCGACAUCAGAAAAUACCAGGCCGUCCAGAAGAUUUGGGGCAGCGUUUCGCCUCCCUGAAACUGAGGCAGCAGCUGGUGCUACUGGUUUUGACCCGUUUGCUGCUUCUGCUGAUGGAGUUGAUGAUGCUGACUUAUACAACUAGAUUAGCAUAAAUCACGUUACAAGUCAACACUUAUACAUGAUCAUAUAUGCAUAUAUAGAAAGGUCCAACAAUGAAAAUGCAAUGUGAAAGCACACAAGGCGCGCACCCAGGCUUAGCGUCGCAUCCCAACCAAACGCACAAGACUUGAAAGCCCACCUUUCAGGCGCAAAAUGAGGUGAUUUUUCGACCAAAAACGAGUAAACAAAACCCCUAAUUAUAUGCUCAUUUCGUUGGUGUUUCAGGGAAAGUUGUAGAAGUGGCUAGGUUGUUGUGAAUUGGGAAAAUGUCAUCAGCAUUUUACCUCCUUUUGUAAAUGCAAUUUGUAUCUAUCCAUAUUCAUACAACGCUUGGACUCAAUGUUAUAUUUAUGGGUUUAUC
This is a long non-coding RNA of Helianthus annuus (common sunflower), 1087 nucleotides long. RefSeq lists it as uncharacterized. NCBI's taxonomy places the organism in Eukaryota, Viridiplantae, Streptophyta, Magnoliopsida, Asterales, Asteraceae. The record is from RefSeq and is a predicted model, not a curated record. The transcript is spliced from 5 exons.